CUACGGGAGGCAGCAGUGAGGAAUUUUGCGCAAUGGACGAAAGUCUGACGCAGCAACGCCGCGUGAGGGAUGAAGAUCUUAGGGUUGUAAACCUCUUUUAAGAGGGACGAAGUAUGACGGUACCUCUUGAAUAAGCAUCGGCUAACUACGUGCCAGCAGCCGCGGUAAUACGUAGGAUGCGAGCGUUAUCCGGAUUUAUUGGGCGUAAAGCGUCUGUAGGCGGUUUGAUAAGUUGGAGAUGAAAGACCUAGGCUCAACUUAGGGAACGUUUCCAAAACUAUCAGACUAGAGAUAGGAAGAGGCAAGCGGAACUUGUGGUGUAGGGGUAAAAUCCGUAGAUAUCACAGGGAACGCCGAAUGCGAAAGCAGCUUGCUGGUCCUUUUCUGACGCUCAGAGACGAAAGCGUGGGUAGCGAACGGGAUUAGAUACCCCUGUAGUCC
This 441-nucleotide ribosomal RNA is filed under the name uncultured bacterium. RNAcentral describes it as "bacterial SSU rRNA". It matches the Rfam family "Bacterial small subunit ribosomal RNA", at positions 339 to 796 of the family's 1533-position model. The record is from RNAcentral.